Molecule: long non-coding RNA, 1444 nt
Filed under: Oryzias javanicus (javanese ricefish)
Lineage: Eukaryota; Metazoa; Chordata; Actinopteri; Beloniformes; Adrianichthyidae
Description: lncRNA (ENSOJAG00000023798.1)
Source: RNAcentral
UGGACUGAUAGGUUGGAUGGAGUUUGGGGCUUUUUGGAAAGUGCUUAAUGUCAAUUCUAGAGGAAAAUUGCUUUAAAACUAAAGAAAACACAUUAGCUUUAUCGUGAAAACAUUUGAAAUAUUCCUUCAAAGAUAGGUCAUCUGAGAAAGCUUAAGUUUAUUCAUUUAAAUAACCUUAUUUUGCGGAUUAAACUUAAAAGUGUGUUACUCUGGCAACAGACUUGUCUUUCUCUACUAUCUGACUCGAUCUAAGCCACUAAAGAGGAACCUGCUCCUGUUCAGCACUGAUAAAACCCUACUUGCAAUAACGAGUCCCCCCCCCCCUCAAAAAAAGGUGCUCCAGUCUGGCCUUUGUUUCUUCUGAAAUGACUGUUCUGCUGUGGGAAAGAAAAUGAAACAGCUCUAAAGUGCACCCCUUCACCAUGUGCCCAUGAAGCGUUGCCAAGCCAAGACUAUCGGGAAAGCUGGCCGGCUGAAAGGUGAAGGGUCACAAUGGGGGGAUAAAUACAACGGCCGGCAGACCGAAAGGGCGUCGUAGACGAAGGCCAGAUCUUCUCCCUCCUCAGCGCUCCUCUUGAUCUCUAAGGUAAAGGGUAUUCCGUUUAACUGAGAAAUAUUUAAAAAAAAAAAAAAAAGUGAUUGCUUUUUUAAUACUAUUUGUGUGCAAAAAUAUUAAGCUAUGCGGGUGGAAAUUUUUUUUGCAAGUGGCUUUUUUGUGAUGACUAAGUCGAUUAGCAACAGUGGUCAUAUGUGGUUAGUUUUUUUGUGCAUGUAACUUUCAGCUAAAAAAAAUUUAUAUAAAGUGACUUGCACGAACUUUCUUUGUCUCUUUUUAUAAAAUUCUAAGCUGUUGCUGAUUUUACUCAAUUUUCGUCGCUAGAAUCUUUAAAUGGAGACUCACCAUCUUCCAUUCAUUGCACUUUUAUAAAGGCAACCUUAGAAGUAUAGUAGCAUAGUCGCUAAACAGUGUGGACUUUUUUUUACUUGGUCUUUUUGUCACGCCUUGUGUAGCCCCCCCAUUGCACAUGGUGUAAAUUUAGUCCAACCUAUUGAUAGUGCAGGCGCAGGCAGUUGGAGAGUGGGGAUGGGGACGUGAAAGGUCAAAGAUAAGAGAUUGGAACGUGGAUCGGGUCAUCCACGUGCUUCUCAUAAAUUCUCUCACACAAGAGGGGUGCAGCAGAGGAAGAUAAACACCAACUCUGACACUGAAUCUGAAUCCCACCACAUAGUGCUGGGGGGGAGAUGUGCACGAAUUUCAGUAGCUGCAGAGCUUACAGUCAUAGGUUGAGAGCACAGCUGGCCUGAUCGUUCAGCAGACAGGAAGCAAAGCAGAAAAACCUUCUCCUUCACCACUUCCUCUAGACAAACAGAUAAGCUGUCUGUCCUCCUUUCAUCUGACAGAUUCCCAUACGCACACAAGCAGAACCACAACCUCUAUGUCAAA